CUGCUGGCUGGGCGCCACCGGGGCCGCCAGCUGUGCCGAGGCGCUCGUCCGGGUGCGCGGCGCCCCCCGGGCCGCCCAGCUCGUCCAGCGCGGGCGGUGGCGGCACGAAGGGCGCCCCGUUUUCACGCUUGGCAACCCCAGGGCCCUGGCCCCCGAUCAUCUAACACCCAAACCAGUGCCCGGAGCGCUUUGUAGGUUCGUGGAGGGCGCAGCCUUACCUUGCAAGGCCUUUUCCUGGUCGGCGCGGCUGGCCAGCGGGGCAGGCAAGGUCUGCGCAGCUCCCAGCAGCCUCAUUUUGCACGGGCUUCUCCGGCCCAGGAUGCUGUCGAUGCAGUAGGAGGAGAGCAAAGUUGGAGAUUUACUUUUGCACUCGGGCCUCUCGGAGCAGCCCUCCUCCUGUUGUUGGCUGCCGGCUCCUGCCCUGCCUGCGGCCAGAGCUCGCCCUCUCCGCGCACCGGACAAGCAGUAACAAGUGUACUGAGCAGCGGGAGCGGAGCUCUGGAGUCUCUCUCCUCCACGUGCUGAGAGGAGUGCUCUG
Long non-coding RNA from Phyllostomus hastatus (greater spear-nosed bat), 538 nucleotides. RefSeq lists it as uncharacterized. The record is from RefSeq and is a predicted model, not a curated record. NCBI's taxonomy places the organism in Eukaryota, Metazoa, Chordata, Mammalia, Chiroptera, Phyllostomidae. The transcript is spliced from 3 exons.